AGCAGCCGCGGUAAUUCCAGCUCCAAUAGCGUAUAUUAAAGUUGUUGCAGUUAAAAGCUGUAGUUGAAUUUUCGGGGAUUAGUCAAAUUGCUGCUUGGGGUUCCGGUUGGCCCUUUUCGAUACGGGGUCAACCGUUGGACCUGGAUUUGUUAAUUCGGUUUGGCCUUUCCACCUUUCUGAAGCCAACCUUCUGGACCGGAAAUCCGUCAAUUUAAUUUCGGAUUUUGCAUUUCGAAUUUGGGGGGUAAGUUGGCCAGGGGGGAAAUCCUAGGGUUAAC
This 278-nucleotide ribosomal RNA is filed under the name uncultured Glomeromycotina. Its description in RNAcentral is "partial small subunit ribosomal RNA". It matches the Rfam family "Eukaryotic small subunit ribosomal RNA", at positions 569 to 778 of the family's 1831-position model. Lineage: Eukaryota; Fungi; Glomeromycota. The record is from RNAcentral.